GAUGAACGCUGGCGGCGUGCCUAAUACAUGCAAGUCGAGCGAACAGACGAGGAGCUUGCUCCUCUGACGUUAGCGGCGGACGGGUGAGUAACACGUGGAUAACCUACCUAUCAGACUGGGAUAACUUCGGGAAACCGGAGCUAAUACCGGAUAAUAUAUUGAACCGCAUGGUUCAAUAGUGAAAGACGGUUUUGCUGUCACUUAUAGAUGGAUCCGCGCCGCAUUAGCUAGUUGGUAAGGUAACGGCUUACCAAGACAACGAUGCGUAGCCGACCUGAGAGGGUGAUCGGCCACACUGGAACUGAGACACGGUCCAGACGCCUACGGGAGGCAGCAGGAGGGAAGCUUCCGCAAUGGGCGAAAGCCUGACGGAGCAACGCAGCGUGAGUGAUGAAGGUCUUCGGAUCGUAAAACUGUGUUAUUAGGGAAGAAAAAAUGUGUAAGUAACUAUGCACGUGUUGACGGUACCUAAUCAGAAAGCCACGGCUAACUACGUG
RNAcentral lists this ribosomal RNA (497 nucleotides) under uncultured bacterium. RNAcentral describes it as "partial 16S ribosomal RNA". It matches the Rfam family "Bacterial small subunit ribosomal RNA", at positions 28 to 507 of the family's 1533-position model. The record is from RNAcentral.